Molecule: ribosomal RNA, 505 nt
Filed under: uncultured bacterium
Lineage: Bacteria
Description: partial 16S ribosomal RNA
Rfam family: Bacterial small subunit ribosomal RNA
Source: RNAcentral
GACGAACGCUGGCGGCGUGCCUAAUACAUGCAAGUAGAACGCACAGUUUAUACCGUAGCUUGCUACACCAUAAACUGUGAGUUGCGAACGGGUGAGUAACGCGUAGGUAACCUGCCUGGUAGCGGGGGAUAACUAUUGGAAACGAUAGCUAAUACCGCAUAAUAUUGAUUAUUGCAUGAUAAUUGAUUGAACGAUGCUAUUGCAUCACUACCAGAUGGACCUGCGUUGUAUUAGCUAGUAGGUGAGGUAACGGCUCACCUAGGCGACGAUACAUAGCCGACCUUGGAGGGUGAUCGGCCAACCCGGGACUGGGACACGGCCCAGACCCCUACGGGAGGCAGCAGUAGGGAAUCUUUGGCCAUGGACGGAAGUCUGACCGAGCAACGCCGCGUGAGUGAAGAAGGGUUUCGGAUCGUAAAGCUCUGUUGUAAGAGAAGAACGGGGGUGAGAGUGGAAAGUUCACACUGUGACGGUAUCUUAACAGAAAGGGACGGCUAACUACGUG